UACGUAGGGGCCGAGCGUUGUCCGGAAUUACUGGGCGUAAAGCGCACGUAGGCGGUCAGGCAAGUCGGGUGUGAAAGCCCUGGGCUCAACCUGGGAAUUGCAUUCGAAACUAUCUGACUCGAGUAUGGGAGAGGGAAGCGGAAUUUCCGGUGUAGCGGUGAAAUGCGUAGAUAUCGGAAGGAACACCAGUGGCGAAGGCGGCUUCCUGGACUAAUACUGACGCUGAGGUGCGAAAGCGUGGGGAGCAAACAGG
RNAcentral lists this ribosomal RNA (253 nucleotides) under uncultured bacterium. RNAcentral's name for it is "partial 16S ribosomal RNA". It matches the Rfam family "Bacterial small subunit ribosomal RNA", at positions 524 to 776 of the family's 1533-position model. The record is from RNAcentral.